Long non-coding RNA from Zea mays, 488 nucleotides. RefSeq lists it as uncharacterized. The transcript has 3 exons. NCBI's taxonomy places the organism in Eukaryota, Viridiplantae, Streptophyta, Magnoliopsida, Poales, Poaceae. The record is from RefSeq and is a predicted model, not a curated record.
GUGGGGUGCUAUCUGUUUGGUAGGAUUAAAAAAUAAUUGUUCUGUCUUCAUCCUAGGUAUAUCGCAAGUUCUUCGGCGGGUACUGCAACUGCUCAUACCAUGAUUGCAGAGCUGAGAACACCUUGAAGCUAGGAGAUGUCAUCCAGUACCAUGAAUGUGGUUACCGCAUUCUCUAUAAGAAGCGGGCACCGAUCCAUGUGCAGUACCAGCAAACUUCCCAUUUUCUAUGACUCCAAGGCCUUAUGUCAUCCAGCAAUGGCAGUUGCCGUUCAGUUUGGACUAUAGAAUUCAAUUAUGAGUUCAGUUUGUUGAUAUUAAAGGAAAGAUACAGGUCAGCCUCUUUUACUUAACAAGGUAAGAGCUCUAAAUUUAUGUUAGUAUAGUAGAAGUUUUUUUUGUUGUAAAUAUCACUUGCAUAUACACCAGCUAGAUGCUCACUAUUUGUCCUCUCUCAAGGUCUCAAUCUGUCUGAUGUUUAUUCAACCGAU